Molecule: ribosomal RNA, 255 nt
Filed under: uncultured bacterium
Lineage: Bacteria
Description: partial 16S ribosomal RNA
Rfam family: Bacterial small subunit ribosomal RNA
Source: RNAcentral
UACGUAGGGUGCAAGCGUUAAUCGGAAUUAUUGGGCGUAAAGCGCGCGCAGGCGGCCUUUUAAGUCUGAUGUGAAAGCCCACGGCUCAACCGUGGAAGGUCAUUGGAAACUGAAAGGCUUGAGUACAGAAGAGGAAAGCGGAAUUCCACGUGUAGCGGCUGAAAUGACGUAGAGAUGUGGAGGAACACCAGUGGCGAAGGCGACUUUCUGGCCUGUUCUUGACGCUGAGGCGCGAAAGCUAGGGGAGCAAACGGG